AGAAGGAACACAGAGUCAGAGAGAAAUGGAAAGAGGCUGCGCUGCUGGCCUGGAAGGUGGAGGAAGGGCCAUGAGCCGAGGAGUGCAACGGCCUCAGAGGCCACAAAGGCUCCAGCUGAAGGUGGAAGGGUGGUUCUGCUGUGUUCUCUUCCUUGGAAUUUCUGGGAAAACCACGAGCGGGACUAGAACCCAAAAUCUUCAUUCCAUCGUCAAUGAAAGCCAAAGACACCUGGACCUUGGAAACAGUCUGAGCCUUCCUGAUGGAGAGCGGAUGAGGACCGGAGGGAAAGGGACACCGGACUUUGGAAACAGUCUAAGCCUUCCCGAUGGAGAGUGGAUGAGGACCGGAGAGAAAGGGCCCUGAGAAAGUAGGCUGCUGCCCUGGAUCCCAGACCCAACCAGAGUGGCACAGAGUCCUCCAGAACAGAGCGUGCCCCCGGGAGAGCCACCGGCCCUGCUGCACCUGCUGGGGUGUCCCUGCUGUUCACCCUCCCUGGGCUCCUGGACCACAGCGGGGCAGAGUGGAGGAGGAGGUGUGCACAGAGGCACCAUUGUUGUGGGAAGCAGUUUGUUGGUGAGGAGGGAGCUGCGGUCCUGCAUGACAUCCACACGUGUGACAUCCACACGCGUGAAAUCAGCACACACGCGUGACAUCCACACGCGUGACACCCACAUGCGUGACACCAGCACACACGUGACAUCCACGCACAUGACAUCAGCACACACGUGUGACAUCCACACGCGUGACAUCAGCACACGUGUGCCAUCCACACAUGUGACAUCAGCACACACGCAUGACAUCCACACUUGUGACAGCACACACGCACACACACUCAUCAUUCAGACAGGACUAGCACAAGAACCGCACGGAAUGACCACAGAGGGUCUUGGCGGGAACGGAAAACAAGCUGCCUCCAACCUCGUGCAGCCUCUUUUUCCUCCAGAUCAUCGCUAAGUCCUCCCAGGGCUGGUGUGCCCGAGAAGCAGGAGGGUUCCCGAGAGCAGCUUUUUGCUCCCAGGAGUGGCAGGUUCCUGCCGCCUGACAGGCUGCUCGCGGAGGAGGCUGGAGCCAGCACAAACGCCAUGUCUUGUCGAGACCUUCACUAGAGUCUCUCCGGUUGUUUUUUUUCUCGAGAAAAAUAUUGGAAAAUUGGUGAAAAUAUUUACAUCGAUUUUAUCUCUUUAUCUUGGUUUGACUUUUUUAUUCUCCUUUAAGUUGAUUCAUUUUUAGUGAAGUGCAAAAUAAAUUCUCAUGUUUGAAGUUUUGGAAAAGUCUGCAGUCCCAGGGAGGUGAUGGGUUAAAUGCUGUUUGUUGACUGUGGACUGCAGAUGGCUCAGCUCUUACCUUGACAAGGACGGUGAGGACGGCAGACAUGGGCGCCCGGCUGCUGUGCCUCCCUCCCUGCCUGGCUUCUGCCUGAUGCUGCUGCUGAGCCCCCGAAUUGCCUCACCAGACCCCGUCCACCCAGACACUGGGAGCCCAUGGCCAAACUGGUGUGUCUUGCAUUAAAAAUAAAACCCAUUUAUGACAUCUGA
Homo sapiens (human) is the source of this 1536-nucleotide long non-coding RNA. RefSeq lists it as uncharacterized. The record is from RefSeq and is a predicted model, not a curated record. NCBI's taxonomy places the organism in Eukaryota, Metazoa, Chordata, Mammalia, Primates, Hominidae. The transcript is spliced from 2 exons.